CUAAUUAACUUAUUACUUUAACACCAGCUUUCUACUUGGGCAAUAUUUUGGGUAUCAAUGGUUCAUUCUUCCGACAUUUACAGUAGAGGUAUGUUAUUUGUGUAGCUAAUGUUCUUAUCUAAUUAAUGGAGCUUUGAUAUUUUUCAAGCUUGCGCACAAACUUUCAUGUAAUUUAUCCUAGUUUUGAAGAGCAUAUUUUCGUGAAUAUUCCUUUAACUUGCUCAGGCUUGCCCCGUUAAUCACUACCAAUCUUUGUCACCCAAUUCCCUCAUCAGAGUGUACUUGUUGCGUAUAACUUAAAAGGUUUCAUGGAUUAUCUUCACUGCUUUUCGUAUGCUCUUAGAUUUCCUGUUGUACAAAACAUGUUCUUAGUCCUUGAAUGACAUCUGAGGUCUGAUCAGCAGUUUAAAUUUUGACUAAUUUUCUGAUUUUUUGUUGGAUGUGCAGUAAAGAGCUAAUGACUUGUGGUGAUGAAGGUUCGAGAAUUGGAAAUAGUGGUCUGUGGAGUUGAAGAGGGUAGUGGAGGCAGCCAUGGCUACCUGUCAGUGUAGUGAGUUGAUGGUGAUAUUGGUGGUAGGUAGUUCUACGCAGGGAAAUAGCGGUCGACUCUGAAAUUUGAUGGCUGAGUUGAAGAAAGUUAAGGGGGUGGAGACAGGGCUUGGGACAUGCUAAUGCAUGGAGGUGAUGGUAGAAGAGGCGAUGGUUCUAAACAUGGAAACAAUGGCCUCUGCAGUUUGAUGGCAAGGGAUGAUGAAAGAUGAGUAGUGGAGUCGGAGUCGGGCUUUUAGACGGGCGAUAAUGCAUAGAGGUGGA
This 813-nucleotide long non-coding RNA is filed under the name Olea europaea subsp. europaea. The record is from RNAcentral. Lineage: Eukaryota; Viridiplantae; Streptophyta; Magnoliopsida; Lamiales; Oleaceae.